Molecule: ribosomal RNA, 426 nt
Filed under: uncultured bacterium
Lineage: Bacteria
Description: partial 16S ribosomal RNA
Rfam family: Bacterial small subunit ribosomal RNA
Source: RNAcentral
GUGAGGAAUUUUCCGCAAUGGGCGAAAGCCUGACGGAGCAAUGCCGCGUGAAGGAUGAAGGCCUAUGGGUUGUAAACUUCUUUUCUCAGAAAAGAAUUAUGACGGUAUCUGAGGAAUAAGCAUCGGCUAACUCUGUGCCAGCAGCCGCGGUAAGACAGAGGAUGCAAGCGUUAUCCGGAAUGAAUGGGCGUAAAGCGUCUGUAGGUUGUUUAAAAAGUAUUCUGUCAAAGAUUAGGGCUUAACCCUAGAUAGACAGAAUAAACUUUUAAGCUAGAGUUUGGUAGAGGCAGAGGGAAUUACCGGUGGAGCGGUGAAAUGCGUAGAUAUCGGGAGGAACACCAAAGGCGAAGGCACUCUGCUGGGCCAAUACUAACACUGAGAGACGAAAGCGAGGGGAGCAAAUGGGAUUAGAAACCCCAGUAGUCC